Molecule: long non-coding RNA, 727 nt
Filed under: Geospiza fortis (medium ground-finch)
Lineage: Eukaryota; Metazoa; Chordata; Aves; Passeriformes; Thraupidae
Description: lncRNA (ENSGFOG00000004901.1)
Source: RNAcentral
GCCUUCUGCACUCUCUCUUACGUUCUAUCCCACCACAGAGUUGUCCAGGUUUGUUCACUGAUAGUUCUCCUGUUCAUAAACAUCUUCUGGGGGUGACUGGAUCAUUUAGAGCUGCUGCUAAAUUGGUGUCGUGACAAGAGAUGUUGCGCUUGUUGUGAUGAGCUUUAAACUUCAGCUGCCAACGUGCCACGAUCAAAGAGUUCAUUGGAUCUGUUUUGGCUCUCAGGGUGUCAGCAGUGGCAUUUGUGCCCCAGUGUGCAGCUGUGAGGAGCUCCAUCUUCUCAGGGGAAGGGGAACAAGAUGCCUGUGGCAUUCCCAGGAUUUGUGAGCUCCCUCUCGCGGCCGCGUUACCGACUCCGGCCGGGUUCUGAUCGGCCCGAAUUGAUGUGACACCAAAGGGCAGUUUGUCAUCUCCGGAGCAGGAAUUGAUUUCAAUCUCCUCGGCAGCUACAUGAGUCACCCGAGCUGCUGCUGGAUCACCGUCACAGCCGGUGGGAGGUAGUUGUGCAGCCCGAGGGCACAGGGAGCUGGGCAGGAUCACUCCAUCCAUCCAUCCAUCCAUCGCUCCAUCCAUCCAUCCAUCCCCCCCAUCCAUCCAUCCAUCCCAGGCUGGGCUGGCAGCGCUGCCUGGGGUACCAGCACAGCUGUGCUGCUCCUCAGGGCAGCACAGGAGCCCUUCAAAACCCAUGAGGUGCCACUGCCCUGUGUGAUUCCCAGGCUGCUCCAG